This 2234-nucleotide long non-coding RNA is filed under the name Oryctolagus cuniculus (rabbit). Its description in RNAcentral is "lncRNA (ENSOCUG00000037689.1)". Lineage: Eukaryota; Metazoa; Chordata; Mammalia; Lagomorpha; Leporidae. The record is from RNAcentral.
AUGAACCAGCUACUCUUGCUCUGUUGGAAAUUUUCUCUCUCCCUGCGCUGGGAGCUGAGUGCUAUUCUUGUCUUCUUUCCACUGAUGAGAAAACCCAGGCUCAGAAAUGAUAAUUUUACUUUCAAAAAUUCACAAAUCUCUUGUGAAUCAAAUGAUGAGUUUUGGUUCCAAAAACAUGAAGACUAUAUUUGCCUAGAGCAUUUCUAUCUGGGCACUCAAGGUUGUAGCAUCCAGGAUCUGCUGGGGAGUCAAGGUCAGGAUCAGCAGCAACACCACCAAGACAGCCUUUUCUUCCCUGCUGGGUUUGGGGUGAAGGUGCAGACUAAACCUUGGGGUAUAGGGGUGUGUGUAGGGAGGGUGGAGGUUGAGGCAAUUCAUGUUGAGACAGUUGCAAAACAAGUUCCUCUGUGGGCAUCUGAGGUGUGGGCACCAUUUGAAGACUCAGAAAACACAUGGAUUGGGUGGGGUCUCACGACUUGAGAUCCUCAGCACAUGACUCAUGCUUCUCUCCAUAAAAGAUGAAUCAAGUUGUCUUUGGCAUUAAGAAAAAUAUACAAAACCACAUACCAAGGGGAAGCAGAAAUCCAGGGAAGCUGAACAAAUUAUUCCAGGGAGUGUAGCUAGUGUCAGAGCCAUGUCUCAGGAUUCCCAGUACCUGGCCACACGGCACCACACUCUUGAGUUUUUACUGCCCUGUGCUCCCAUAGGUCACUUUGCUUCAGGAGUUGAAGAUAUUUACCAAGAGAUGACAGGCCUAUUUCAUUGGCUGGGCAGUACGUACCAUAAAGUAAUAUUUCUUUUGUCAACAGCCUGUAAAGCUAGGCAGAGAAGUCCAGGCUAUGAAUAACAUAAAGACAAAGGAUCAGAGAAAUGUCUAAAACUCGCUGAUAUCUUGGUGUCUGAAUUCACAUGUGUAUCUAUCAUUGGCUCUAGGUUUCCUUUAGGUAGUUUUGCCUUAUGAUUCUUCUUACUGAAAGAAAAGUGCUUUCUAUAUUGUGCAGUGGCAUUUCACAUCUAUUUGAACUAUGUUACUUUGAAACAGUGUGACCUAAAAAUAUAAAUGGGGGGAGGGAGGGAGGGAAUUUGGCCCAGUGGUUAAAGUUACUAGUCAGGAUGCCCACAUCCAGUAUGGGAGAGCCUGGACUGAGUCCUGACUGCUCUGCUUUUGAUCCAGCUUCUUCCUAAUGCACACGCCAAGAGGCAGCAGGUGAUAUCUCAAGUACUUGGGUCCCUACCACUCACAUGGGAGAUCCAGAUUGAAUUCCAGGCUCUUGGCUGCAGCCUGGCCUAGCCUUGGGUCACUGUGGGCUUUUGAGGAGUGAACCAGCAGGUGGGAGAUCUGUCCCUCUCUCUCUCUCUGUUUCUCUCCCUCUCUCUCUCUCUCUCUCUCUCUCCCUCUCCCUUUCCUAUCUUUCUCCCUUUCAACCAAAGGGGAAACUUGUUGAAAUGAAAUGGACACUAUGAGAAACAGUGACUUGAUCAGCUCUUGUCCUGACGGUUGAUGUACAAUGUAAUACUUUAUCCAUUUUAGUAUUUUUUUUUGUUCUAGUACCAUGGGUUGAACUCUGUAAUUAACACACAAUUAUUCUUAGGUGUUUAAUUUUAACUGAAAAGUGAUCCCUGUUGGGAAUUUGGAAAACAUUAUGCUGAGUGAAAUAAGCCAAUCCCAAAGGGACAAAUACCACUUGUUUUCCUUGAUAGGUGACAACUAACUGAGCACCAAAAAGGAAAACUAUUAAAGUGAAAUGAACACUAUGAGAAACGGUGACUUGAUCAGCCCUCACCCUGACUGUUGAUGAUCAGCUUAAUAUGUUAUCCCUCUUAGUAUGUUUUUUGUUUGUUCUACUGAUGCCAUAAACAAGAGUGUCAAUUUGUUAAGUCAACAACAGGAGUCACUGUGCACUUACUCCUCAUGUAGGAUCUUUGUCCUUAGUGUGCUGUACAUUGAGAUUUAAUGCUAUAACUAGUACUCAAACAGUAUUUUUCACUUUAUGUUUCUGUGUGGGAGCAAACUGUUGAAAUCUUUACUUAAUGUAUGCUAAACUGAUCUUCUGUAUAUAAAGAGAAUUGAAAAUGAAUCUUGAUGUGAAUGGAAGGGGAGAGGGAGUGGGAAAGGGGAGGGUUGUGGGUGGGAGGGACAUUAUGGGGGGGAAGCCAUUGUAAUCCAUAAGCUGUACUUUGGAAAUUUAUAUUCAUUAAAUAAAAGUUUAAAAAAAAAAGAAAGAAGGAAGAAA